CUGCAACUCGCCUGCAUGAAGUCGGAAUUGCUAGUAAUCGCGGAUCAGCAUGCCGCGGUGAAUACGUUCCCGGGCCUUGUACACACCGCCCGUCACACCAUGGGAGUCGGUAACACCCGAAGCCGAUAGUCUAACGAAAGAGGACGUCGUCGAAGGUGGGAUUGAUGACUGGGGUGAAGUCGUAACAAGGUAUC
This 194-nucleotide ribosomal RNA is filed under the name uncultured bacterium. Its description in RNAcentral is "partial 16S ribosomal RNA". It matches the Rfam family "Bacterial small subunit ribosomal RNA", at positions 1305 to 1500 of the family's 1533-position model. The record is from RNAcentral.